GGGCUUUCUUUCGAAUCAGGCUGGAUAUGGUUAUGAGGAUAUUAGAAAAUAUUCUUGUUUCCUUGUUUGGUGAUUGGAUUACCAUUGUGGGUGGGAAUUUGAUUUCUGAGAACAAAAUAAUAGGGAAAUACACUCUGGGUGUUAUUGAUAAAACCCAGGCAGGGCAAAAGAAACAAAGAGUAAAUUUCUCAACCAAUUUAUUAUUGAGGAUUGAAGUUUUGAAUCUCAUUUGCAGUUUGGUGGGAUGUGAUAGUCAAUUUGGGCGACAAAAACAAAUUUAAUGUAUAAAAACUCCACUUCCACUUUGUGCUUUUGCUUUGGCAGCCAAAACUUCUAUGUUUGGAAUAGUACAUUCCAGUAGAUAGCCCAUCCAAUUAGUUAAAUCACUUAGUACAUUAAGGUACCUCAGAUGUCUUUCUAUUUUAUCUUUCUUAACUUGAAUUGAGGCCCGAAAAGUGUUUUUAUAUGAUGUUAUAUUUCGGUUUCGAUGGUAUUUGUCUUUGCUUAAGCAUUCCCUAGUUCUGUUUUUAAUUUAGGAGCUAGUGAAGUGUAAUACGGGGGACGAAUUCUACAAGAGCCUGAAGCUCAACCUAUGUGGGUAUCUUCAAACUUUCAGUUACGUGCUCCUGAUGCUGUUGGUUAACAAGCCUUACGAUACGAAUAUGGAUGAGAAUUUUCUAUUGCUGAUAUAUUCUAUGAUUGAGCAGUGCAGGAUAUGUUUUUCGGCUAUUUCUGCUCCUUUUCCAAACGAUUUUCUGUGGUUCAGGAAUCAGGUCUGGUCCUGAGGUCUGGACUAUGUUUGUAAGCUUUGUUGUGGCUGGGAUGCUGCUGAUUUUCUUCUUCUUCUUCUUCUUCUUCUUCUUCUCCAGUUUCUGCAGGUUUGGAGCUGAAGACGAUGGUGAUGAUGUCUUUCUCAUGCUGGAGCUUCAGUUUGCCUUGACCCUCUCAUGUUUAUAAAUGUUAUUGUUAAGUGUUGGUGUAGGCCUUCUCCAUUUUAAGAAUUGCCUUGACCCUCUCAUGUUUAUAAACGCAGGUCCGAUCAUAAGUUUGAUUUUUUUUUUCAAACGUGAUGGCAAGUAGCAGCAGAUUACUAUGCCAGUCAUAUGUGUACCCAAAAAUCUGGUUUAUAAGUCUGCUCAACAACUGAUAGCAGACGUAUCCCAAAGGUUUCUAAUCCUGAAUGCCUCUCUCAAUACAGACCUAUUAGUCUUUGUAACCUAAGCGUGAGGAUUAUCUGUAAAGUUCUGGCUAAUCGCUUAAAGCUUAUCUUGAGCAAGUUGAUCACCCCCAAUCAAUCAGCUUUUAUUCCUGUGAGGAUGAUUCAAGACAAUGUCAUAGUAGCUCAUGAGGCCUUCCUCAUUUCUUCAAGAUUCAUAAAAGGGGAAAGCGACAGGUAGUGACUGUGGCUCUCAAGCUGGAUUUUCAACAAAGUGUACGACCGUGCACAGUGGGAUUUCCUAAGAGAGGUCAUGAUUAGAAUGUGCUUCAAUCUUCAGUGGGUACACCUCAUUAUGCAGGUCUACUUCUGACUCGAAGAAAAGGCACACUUGGAACAGAAAAAACUUUUGAGGUUCUUGAGCCCCACGGUUGGAUCCACCAAACUUUUGCCUGAUGAUUCUUUUAUUUAUGCUAUUGAUGGCAUGUCUGGAUCGGGUGGUGAGCAAACAAUCAGUUGCAGAGAGACUGAACUCCUGUGAGUAAACUUAUACAAAUAGGGUCUUGAACAGGAUGUAACCGCGGUAGGAGGGAAGUUUUGCCUUACUUUUUUCAUUUGGUUUGUGAAUUUGCAAAUUUUCCCUUUAUUUUGAGGAAUGUUCGUUUCCGGAAAAUUGUUGUCUUCAAAGAGAAAUAUGAGAUCAUGAUUAGAGAUGUUCGUUUCUGGAAAACUUGAACUACAAUAAAGGAAAAUGAUUUCGAUACAGAAGCUUUUACAAAAUUAUUCGUUCAGAAAGAUGUGACAGUAUUAUUUUUCGAAAUAUCUCACGGGCCACCCUCUCUCCUACUUGAAACCCCUUUCAGCGACGGAUUCUCCUGCUGACUGAUGCUCUUCCAGCAAUACCAUAAGCAAAUUAAUAAUCCUUGUCAAGGUUUAAAUUCGAUAAUUGUCCGCUUACAUUGUUAUGGUGAUUACAUUGAAAGCAGUAUUUCACACUUUGGUACUGGGAUAUUAACUAUUACAGUCUUGAUGACCAUCCAGGAUCCAGUGGUGCAAUUCUGGGUUUUAUUUUGAUGUGGAUUUGAGAAACUGUCCUUAAAUUUGAGUUUUGAUCUAUCCUCUUAGUAGAAAUCUCCUCUCACCCCAAUGUUUUUGCUUGCAUUUAUGAGCACAUUAAUUUGUAAUUAGUCUGUAUUAGUGGAAAGUGAAGACAAUCUAUUCCUAUGGUGCAGGUGAUAUCUUACUUGAGAGGUCCCCUACUUUUCAUAUUCAGUUUUCAUCCCACAACGUCAUACGAAAGAUACAGUGUAGGUGUGGAAGAAGAUGGAGAAUAUCAAGUCAUACUGAAUUCGGAUGAAAAGAGGUACGGUGGUCAAGCACUGAUUUAGCAGGACCAAUAUAUUCAAAGAACUAUCAGUCAGAGAAUGGAUGGACUCCGAAAUUGUUUGGAAGUGCCACUUCCUAAUAGAAGUGCUCAGGUUUACAAAUUGACUCGGAUUCUGAGAAUAUGAACUGUCAUGCAUACUCAAUUUUGCACAACUCUGGUUUUUCAAGGAAAUGAAGCCAAAACCAAUGAUCACAUAAGAUUGUUUACCUUCCUUGGGCAACAUUUUUACUCUUUAAAAGCUUUGAAACGUAAAUUUUGACAGAAAGAAUGGGGGUCCAUAAACUUUUCAGCUCACACAUAAUCCUCGGUUAUCUCCGGUGGUGUACAGUACUAGCACUGUGGUUGACCUCUCUCUCUCUCUCUCUGGGUGAUGCUUUCUCAAUGUGCUACCGUAAAAAGAAGUCUACUUGUGACUUGAAGAAAAGGCACACUUGGAACAGCAAAAACUUUUGAGGUUCUUGAGCCCCACGGUUGGAUUCCUCAAACUUUUGCCUGAUCAUUCUUUCAUUUAUGCUAUUGAGGGCACGUCUGGAUCAGGUGGCAAACAAACAAUCAGUUGCAGAGAGACUGAACUCCUGUGAAUAAACUCAUACAAAUAGGCCCUGUUUGAUUGGAGGGAUUGGAUUAGGAAGGAUUAUAGCUAUGUAGGGUCUUCAACAGGAUGUAACCGCGGUACUUUUUUAUUUGGUGUGUGACUUCGCAAAUUUUCCCUUUUAUUUUGAGGACUGUUCCUUUCCGGAAAAUUGUUGUGUCCUUGAAGAGAAACGUGAGAUCAUGAUUAGAGA
Molecule: long non-coding RNA, 3328 nt
Organism: Rhododendron vialii
Lineage: Eukaryota; Viridiplantae; Streptophyta; Magnoliopsida; Ericales; Ericaceae
Exons: 6
Source: RefSeq, a predicted model, not a curated record